Molecule: ribosomal RNA, 468 nt
Filed under: uncultured bacterium
Lineage: Bacteria
Description: partial 16S ribosomal RNA
Rfam family: Bacterial small subunit ribosomal RNA
Source: RNAcentral
GACGAACGCUGGCGGCGUGCUUAACACAUGCAAGUCGAACGGAAAGGCCCUGCUUUUGUGGGGUGCUCGAGUGGCGAACGGGUGAGUAACACGUGAGUAACCUGCCCUUGACUUUGGGAUAACUUCAGGAAACUGGGGCUAAUACCGGAUAGGAGCUCCUGCUGCAUGGUGGGGGUUGGAAAGUUUCGGCGGUUGGGGAUGGACUCGCGGCUUAUCAGCUUGUUGGUGGGGUAGUGGCUUACCAAGGCUUUGACGGGUAGCCGGCCUGAGAGGGUGACCGGCCACCUUGGGACUGAGAUACGGCCCAGACUCCUACGGGAGGCAGCAGGGGGGAAUAUUGCAGAAUGGGCGGAAGCCUGAUGCAGCAACCCCGCGUGCGGGAUGACGGCCUUUGGGUUGUAAACCGCUUUCGCCUGUGACGAAGCGUGAGUGACGGUAAUGGGUAAAGAAGCACCGGCUAACUACGUG